CGGCCUGCAGUCCGUGCCUCUCUGCCCGCGCGGGGACCACACAGUUGGAGAGGCUGCCGGGCACCGGCGCGGGCGAUGCUCAGCAUGGACCUCCGGCCGGCCAGCCUGGGCUUGUUUUCCCGGUAGUACUGGGUUCUGAGAGAGAGUAACUGCAUGGAAGGCCUUGAAGACUGGGCUUGGGCCUGCUGUACCCACAUGACUGCUUCUGCCACGUUCUACUGGCCAAGCUCUAUGGGCAGCUCAGACACAAGGGAAGAGACUCUGCUGCUUCCUGGGAGAAGCUGCAAGACCACAUUGCGAAGGAACAUGUUGUUGCUGCUCCCAUGUUACCUUCGUCAGUGACCUGAGAUGCAGACUGGAUCUAGGGAAUGGUGUUUCCUGUGUGAUGCCUUCCAGGAGUAUCUGCACCACGGGCAGUGCCAGGCCGAGGACAGAGGGCCUAAUGGAGGACACUCUACAACUCCAUCCUGCUGCUGGGGGGGCUUGGGGGCGCCUCCACGAGGGUCUUCAGAGGAAAGGCAUGUGUGUGGUCUGUGGCCUGCCAGCAGGAGAGCUGGGGGAGGCCGGCAUCUUGAGGCUGUUGGCAGCAAGUGCAGGCAGAGGCCUCGGGCCAGAGGGGAGGUGGCAGGGCUCAGGUGCCCUGUGCUUCCUCGGAGAAGGCACUUGGGAUGAAGGCUUAGUCCUGCCUGGUAAACCUGGAGGCCUGUGAACACUGGGGUUAGCCCCAACAAGGGAGGAGGUUCCCGCUGCCUCACUAAGAACAGCCUGCUGCUACACUCACCCUGACAGCUGCUCCGCUCCCAGUGAACCCCACCCCGAGAAGGCUCAUCGGGGCCACGGACCUCCCUCAGCGCUGCAUUCAGAAUCCCUCAGGAGUUGUAAACUUCCU
This 889-nucleotide long non-coding RNA is filed under the name Homo sapiens (human). RNAcentral's name for it is "non-protein coding lnc-MED10-6:1". The record is from RNAcentral. Lineage: Eukaryota; Metazoa; Chordata; Mammalia; Primates; Hominidae.